This 739-nucleotide long non-coding RNA is filed under the name Mytilus galloprovincialis (Mediterranean mussel). The record is from RNAcentral. Lineage: Eukaryota; Metazoa; Mollusca; Bivalvia; Mytilida; Mytilidae.
GCUUUCGACAAAAAGUCUUUGGGGGGUGGGGGUAGCUUUAAGUAAAAAAUUGAAACAUUGUGAAACAACUUUUACGUAUUAUAGACGCAUGUGUGUAUGUUUUGUUAAUGCUGCUUUGAUAUAUUGUGCUUGUAGAUACACGUAUUUAUAUUAUUUAUGCUACUCAUUUUUAACCACUUUAUUAUAUUAUGUCGACUAUAACUAUUGGUAGCGUAAACUGCAGGGGUUUAUCAGAAACAGUUAAAAGAAUUGAUAUAUUUACAAAAUAUAAGGACUUAUAUGAUAUAACUAUAUUAGUAGACACCCAUAGCACAUCUGAAAAAGAAAAACAAUGGCUUCAUGAAUGGGGAUAUGUGGGGAAAUUUAGUUCUAAUUCUAGUAAAAGUAGAGGGGUAGCUAUUCUUUUCAAAAAUACUUUCGAAUUCAAGAUUCAUGAUGAAACUAUAGACCUGAUGGGUAAUUUUAUUAUAGUAGAUAUCACCAUUCAGGACUACCGUAUAACUUUGGCAGCUAUAUAUGGACCGAAUAAUGAUGACCCAGUCUUUUUUGAGAACAUAAAACACAAAAUAUCCCGCUACAGCAAUUCGUCAAUUGUAGUAGCGGGAGAUUGGAAUGUUGUUCAAGACUAUGACAUGGACACAUUACAUUAUAGAAGUGAAAACAACCCCCAGUCAAAAGCCAAGAUUCAUGAGGUAAUGCAUGAACUAGAUCUAUUAGAUAUAUGGCGCCAGCAGCACCC